This 306-nucleotide ribosomal RNA is filed under the name uncultured bacterium. RNAcentral describes it as "bacterial SSU rRNA". It matches the Rfam family "Bacterial small subunit ribosomal RNA", at positions 28 to 334 of the family's 1533-position model. The record is from RNAcentral.
GACGAACGCUGGCGGCGUGCCUAACACAUGCAAGUCGAACGGAAGUAAGACUCCGGUUUUACUUUAGUGGCGAACGGGUGAGUAACGCGUGAGAAACCUGCCUUUCAGUGGGGGACAGCAGUUGGAAACGACUGCUAAUACCGCAUAAUGUAUCUGGACCGCAUGAUCUGGAUACCAAAGCUUUAUGUGCUGAAAGAUGGUCUCGCGUCUGAUUAGCUAGUUGGUGGGGGAACGGCCUACCAAGGCGAUGAUCAGUAGCCGGUCUGAGAGGAUGAACGGCCACAUUGGGACUGAGACACGGUCCAG